RNAcentral lists this unclassified non-coding RNA (747 nucleotides) under Hevea brasiliensis (rubber tree). The record is from RNAcentral. Lineage: Eukaryota; Viridiplantae; Streptophyta; Magnoliopsida; Malpighiales; Euphorbiaceae.
GGAAAAGAUAAAAAUGCUAUACUCAAUCACAGCUCAACACCAUCCGAAGUGCAAACACUUGACUUUACAGGUUGCUUUAUGACAAAUGAAAUAGAGUUCUGAUGCCUAAAUGCAACAUCUAAAUUCCCCCUCUGGUAAACAUCACAUAACUGUACAUAGAGGUUGAACUUGGAUUCUGAAGGGACAAAAAACGUACAAGCCAAGUAUAACCCACCACCCAGAAAAUCAGGGUGCUGAGGGUUUCUUUCAGAGUUUGAAAAAUGGACAAGAAGAGCCACUCUGCUUCAAUUCAAUGGGUUCCAUUUGCUGGGUAUCCCACCAACACCAGCAGCUAAACAGUUUUGAGCAAAUCCUUUUGGUUGUCAUUUUAGUGACUGCCUUUUUAAGAGAUCAGGGCUCUGGCGGGCUAGCUAUCCACUAUCUUCUGUAGUCUAGUAAUGAAAGCAUAGGAGGCCCUGCAUAAUCAUGGUGCCGUACAAAAGAUAAGACCAAUUCCAAUUUCCAGGUAAGGAAACCUUGUGAUAAUACAUCUUAACAUUCUUUUUGGUUUUUCCAUAAAAUAACAAUAAAGACUGCAAGUUCUAGCGCAAUGGUAUUGAAGUUGUCAAGUUUGAGUCGGAGUAUGACACAAUUGUUAAAAGAAAAAGACAAGCAGCUUCCCGCAUUCUGUAUUUCGUUCCUGCAACAUUUUUUGUUAUGAAGCAUGAAAGGUCAUCUUCAAAAUCAAAUGGUCUCACGCAUUAUCAG